GGUAACUUUCCCCCUGCUUUUCACUUUAUCUACACAACUGCCACAAUGCCAUUCAUUUCAUUCCAAUUCCAUUCGCUUUCACUCUAAAUUGAAUAAGCGCCGUCAUUUUCUGUGUUGCAGAGGACGAGGGCGAGACGAAGCAUCUAGAAGCGUUAGUAGAGGGAGCAGAGUCGCGCCUCCGUCUCUUCCAGAUCGACCUCCUCGACUACAACUCGAUACUCGCCGCCGUCAGUGGCUGCUCCGGCGUCUUCCACCUCGCCUCUCCCUGCAUCGUCGAUCAAGUCCACGACGCCGAGGUUCGCGCCAGUACACAUUAUCAAAUUCCUUCUAAUUUUGAUUAUAUUUGAUUAAUUAUGCGUCAUUUUGAAAACGUGGUCAUUUUUUUGUUUAAUCUGCAGAAGGAGCUUCUGGACCCGGCGAUCAAAGGAACGCUCAAUGUUCUGACGGCGGCGAAGCGCGCUGGGGUCAGCCGUGUGGUGCUGACGUCAUCCAUCUCCGCCAUCACUCCCAGCCCAAGCUGGCCGUCUGAUAAGGUCAAGGGCGAGGAUUGCUGGACAGACAUUGACUACUGCAAGCAGAAGGGAGUGAGUUACUCCAAUGCCUAAUUGUGUUUUGAAAAACCGCGGUUUAUUGUCUGUUUAAUGUCCGCAUUCUAUUUUCUUAUUGAAAGUUUGUAACUUUCGGUGCGAGUUUCCCCUGUUUGUAUUGAAUUUUUCAUCUUUGAUUAUUAAGUCUUCGUUUUUAACUAAUUGAAGUUUUCACAAAUGGGGACCUGUAAUGCUGAUUGUGUUUGGUGUUUGGCUAGGUGUGGAAUCCAUUACCGAAAACGCUGGCAGAGAAAGCAGCGUGGGAAUUUGCCAAGGAGAGGGGGCUGGAUGUGGUUGUGGUGAAUCCAGGCACGGUGAUGGGCCCUGUUAUCUCGGCCAGGUUCAAUGCUAGCAUGUUGAUGCUCGUUCGCCUUCUUGAGGGUACUUUUCUCUGCAAAUUUGUAUUAGAAUAUCCUCUGGGACUGCACCUAGAAGUAGAUUGUUGACUUUAUCCAAUUCCAUUUCAUAUAUUAUGUUGCUGAAAGCCUAAAACUAAGGUAACCAAUGAGGCUGUGGUUGGUUGAUGAACUAGAAAUUAGAUGCAUAUGUGUGAUCAUAAAGGAACUCUUCUACAUCUGUUUUUCUAGCACACGUUUCUUUAAGUUCUAAGCAAUCUCGAUAAAGUUUGUUUGGGUUCCUCUCUUUUGGAGAGGACUGAGAAAAAGGAAGAGGCCCUAGAAACAACAUGUAUAAAGUAAGAUUUGAGAUGUUCAAUCUUUGCUGCAGGCUGCACUGAAACUUAUGAGGACUUCCUUGUGGGAUCCGUUCAUUUUAAAGAUGUAGCUCUCGCACACAUUUUAGUGUAUGAGAACAAAAUCAUCAACCGGUAGGCACUUAUGUGCUGGAGCUAUAUCACAUUAUGGUGCCUUUGUGCUAAAGGUUGCUGAACUUUUCCCUGAGUACAAGGUUCCCAGGUAAAUUUUGGUCUGCAAAAUGCAUUUGCAAAUGAAAUGGUGUGCAUAUCUUAUGUUUUCGCUGUUUGGUUUCCUGAUAAGUGAAUGUCUCAUCUCUUGGCAGAAGCGCAACUUAAAAAUAUAGUAUGUCUUGAUUUUGAACCGAGGUUUCUUAGAUACACUGAACUCUUCUACAGCUGGAGGAUGAUGAUUUUUUCUUUCUUUUUUUCCUCCCAUCACGUGUUUGAUAUUUGAGACCAAAUUAGCGAAUUGAAAUCUGAUUUUUCCUAUAAAAGAGUGUUCAUGCGGGUAUAGAUGUGCAUACGUCAUCUUUCUUUGGUCUAUUUAAAAUCCCUUCCAAAUGUUGAUUUCCACGUUUUUCAACCUUUUGGUGCAUUCUUGCUUGCCUUGGCGGAAUUUUACAAUUUUUUUAGGUGGUGUGUGUCUGAUUUUGAAAAUGCUCGAGCUAAUAUGUUUACUUUUGUGUAGUUUGCCAAAGGACACCCAACCGAGCUUGCUGCCGAGGGAAAGAACGGUGCGAAGAAGCUAAUGAACUUGGGUUUAGAAUUCAUUCCCAUGGAUCAAAUUAUCAAGGAUGCUGUUGAGAGCCUAAAGAGCAAGGGAUUUAUUUCAUAAAUGAAACUGCAGGAAUAUGAAACUUAUCAGGGAUCAAGGUAUGACUUGUACUAGUAGCUGAGUACGUGUAACAUGAAUGGUUGUUUCAACUCCUUUAAAUUUUCCUUCUUCUAGGUAGGAGAGCAAUUUAUAUGAAACGAGUUCAUUGCCAUUAUGGCGUUCUGGUCCAGUAAUAUAUUGUCACGUGAAGAAAAACUUAAACAUAUCAGUGCAUUGUUGGACUGGAAUGCUACGUGAUAUAACAAUUAUUCCAUACAUUUUAUUUCCUUUUUAUUUGGAUUAUUGUGAUUGUUUUAAGUGAAUUCAGUUCUCUUUUACUUAGUUUUGUGUUCUUUGGUUCGAGGAGUAAAGAUGAAGAAACAAGAAAAUGGAGGGAUUUUGCAAUUGAAACGAGUUUUGCUUCCUGGAAGCAGACACUGUCUGCGCAGAAUAGCCAACUUGACCGAAUAAACUGUACUUCAGAAGGAACCAGCUAUUGAGCCUUAUACCAUUGCAAAGAUAUUGAAGUUAGCUUUCAAAGAAAUUUUACGGGUGAUAAUUCACUUGAAGCCCAUUGCCCAAGAGAGCUUGUACAGAUGACUUUAAUCCUAUUUCAAUAGGGUCUGAAGUAAGUUACUUGGGAAGUUUACUCGCCACAUCAUCAGUCAUGCAAUACAAAUGAGGAAAAGAUUGCACAAGACCGAUAGGAUUUUGACCAAUAUAGGUUGUAGGAAGUCGGAGGGACGUUUUGGAGAGAGAUUUUCUGCAAAGUUUGAAGAGGAGAAGCAGCGGCCAUCAGCCAUCGUUCUAUCCUUCUACAUCGUUUAUAAGUUUUCCAUGUUUUCUAGACUUUUCAUUAUGUUUUCGUGCUCUAUGAAUAACUAAACUCUUUUCUAGGGCUAGGAUGAUGCCCUAGCAUGAAUGUUAUGAUUUUCAACAGUAUUUGUUGGAUAUUUAAUUUGUUGGAUGAAUUCUUAUUCACUACAAGAACUGAAUGCUUUAUGUUCGAAUUCUUUGACUGAUGAUGUUAGGGCUUUCCAUAUAGUAACUUGAAGAUGGAAUUGAGGCGUAACUGCAAUAUAAUUCGGAUUAGCUUCUUGAUAAUAAGGGUUGUGAAUUACAUAGAUGUUGUAACAAGAUUUAUGGUUUGCAUGAUUCUCCUGUUCUCUUGUACGUAAUGAGUUCUACAUGUUAAAUUUAUGCCCUAACCAGAUAGACUGCAUUUUAGGAUAUACGACCUUUGCCGAAAAAAAGGUCGUACCCAGUGCACAAGGCUCCCGCUUUACGCAGGGUCUGGGAGAGGUGAAUGUCGGCUAGCCUUACCCCCAUUUAUGGAGAGACUGCUCUCAAGUCUCGAACCCGAAAUCGAAGAAAAUCACAUACUUAAGGAGAACUAUGGUUUAUAGUGCCUUAACCGGACUUAGAUACAGGAAUUGUCUUCUAAGGGAAAAUAUUCCAUUGAAUGCAUUGAAACCUAAACCGGAUUGUCAUCUUUGUUGUAUUUAUUAACAAAUAAGGAUAAUUCAAAUAUUAAGAGGUUGCAUAUACCUUUAUAAUGAACUGAAUUCAGCCACAGAUUCUGGUUUUAUUUCUCAUACGAUGUCAAAACAGGAAUCCAGAGUCCUUGACUCUACUUGUGUAGAAUGUUGGUAAUUUCCACUGAUGGAACACUCCCUUGCCCUCAAAGAUAUGUGAUAUAACAUGGGCGAAAGAAUGAAUAAACCGGACUAGUACCGGCCUUCUUGGUGUUAUUCUCAUCAUAGUAGCUUGCUAUCUGCAUAAUUUGUUUUCGUGCAUGUUAAGAAUAGACCCUUACACCUCUUUAUGUUGUCCUGUUGUAGCUGGUCUGCAAGCGGCCUGCGUUGGUUGUGCCGGCUUUGCUGCAUUUUCAGUGCUGAUAGAGAAGUUUUUGGAUAGACAUGAUUGAGUUUGAGCGCUUUGCCUGUGCUGCACCAGUUUUGCAGACACUAAAAAUAUGACAAUUCAGCAGAAGUGCCCUGCAGUGAUACGAAUGUUUUUGCUUAGGUUCAACUUCAGCCCUUGUUAUGGUUAUUUAUCCAAAAUCAUUUAUGAAGGGAUGUUCUAGCGAACAUACAAAUCCAAUGAUUUUGUGUUAUGCAUUCUCUCGACUACAGUUGAGAUUUUUUGAGAAUCUACACCGUAUUUUUAGCGGUAUGAUCAUUGAUUUAGAUUUGUAAUUCAACAAACAAACACCCAAACGAAAGGAUUAAUUCCCGGCAGGAAGUCUCAACUCAUGAAAGAUAUUCGGAUUUUGAGAAGAAGGUUUACGCUGCUCUAAAGAAAUGAGCUUGCUUGCUGGAUAGGCAUUCAGAUUCACUCCUAAAGUUUUCGUUAAUCCUUUCUCUCCACACAGUAAACUGCAGCAUCAAGGUAAAAUCUUGGUAAAUCAAAGAAUCUUGCUUUAUAAAAUCAAAGAAUCUUAACAAGUCACCAUAGACGGUUCGGAUUGAAUUUCAUCGUGAUAAUUAAAUAAGCAAAUGGUUGCGGAUUAAAUUGAAUUUUUGCAAGAAACCUUGAAAUUGAGGAACAUUUUGUUCUAUAAGAAACAAUGAAAUUUCAUCGUAAUAAUUAAAUAGACAAAUGAUUUUGGAUAUCAAAACCAGAAAACCAGUAAGUCUCAAUUAAAGAACAUUCGUAGCUAGAAAUCAAAUAUAAAUUUAAAAAAAAAAAAAAUUGCCAAAGAGAACAGUGGCACGAAUGCCAAAUACCCGUGACCUAAUGCUUGCUUCUUAUCGAGGAUUGAUUCAUAAGCCAUCAUGUUAAUUUGUUUAUAUGAGAUGUUGAAAAGAUGUUGAGAAUGAAUCUCACAUUGAUAGGAGAAACUAUGCAUAGACUUAAAAGUAAGUUGGGCUACUUCCCCAUAUUGUCAAUUGGUUUUAUGGUUGAACUCCAAUUUCUUCAUAAGGUUUACGUUCUAAAAAACAAAUUUAGACUACUUGCCGACACUGCCAGUAUAUAUUCACCCCUGAAAUUUGUUGUUCCUUUCAUCCAAGGAGAGCAAACAGCAGCAUCAAGGAAAAUCUUUUUGGUAUUAAGAGCAAAGAAUCUUGCAUUAAGAAAGCAAACGGGAAAACAAAGGUGUCCACUGUCUAUAUAAACUAGCAAAGAAGAAAAGCUAUAGCACAACCAUCCUGCAUUAGUUUCCUCUUCAUGUAUACAUUCCUACGCAGCUGACUUCUUCUUCUUCUUCUUCUUCUUCUUCUUCUUCUUCUUCUCCACUCUCAACCGAUUUCUAAGUUUGUAACCCUGAAAAUGGCUGACGCCCUCGUUUCCAUGCUACUAGAGAAGUUGGCUACAACAACUUAUGAGUACGUAGAGGACGAGCUGACACUCAUUCUAAAUGUUAAGAAAGAAGUUGAAGAGUUCACUGGCAACCUGAAAGCUAUUGAAUCUAUGCUUGAGGAUGCAGAGCAAAGGCAAAUGAAGGAGGCAAACGUGCAAAACUGGCUGGAUAACCUGAAGGAAAUAUCGUACCAGAUGGUGGACGUGCUGGAUGAGUGGAACACUGACGUUCUGAGACAAGAAGUUGAGAAACAAGAAGGAGAAGGCACAACUCAUAUUACUCAUCAGAGGAAGGUAAGUUUUGCUAUCUUCGCUCGUUGUUUUUGUCUUGGCCAAGUCGGCAAGGUUAUUAUUCGUCGUGAAAUUGCUCUCAAGAUAAAGGAUCUAAAUGAGCAGUUAGUUGGGAUUUAUAAGCAAAGAAAAAUGUAUAAUUUUCAACUCACUGAAAUAGUCAUUCAAAAACAGCAAACUUCGUCUUUUGUCGAUAUGUCUGAGAUAUUUGGUCGAGAAAAGGAAAAGGAUAGUUUGAUAAGGAAGUUGGUGAGUGAUGGUAGUGAAGAAGGGAGGGGGCUCCUCAUCAUCCCUAUUGUAGGGAUGGGAGGUAUGGGAAAGACAACUUUGGCUCAGUUAGUCUAUAAUGAUGCCAAUGUUAAAGCUCAUUUUCAAAAGAGAAUAUGGGUUUGUGUGUCAGAGCCUUUCGAUGAGACAAAGAUUGCCAAAGAGAUUAGUGGUGAUGCCACCUCAAGUUCAACUGGGUUGGAUCAUGUCUUAGAAUCUAUGUCUCGAUCCAUUAAAGGGGUAAAGUUUCUUCUUGUGUUGGAUGAUGUGUGGACUGAAGACCGUAAAAAGUGGUAUCAAUUAAAGGUUCCAUUGAUGCAAAAUGGGGCUGAGGGCAGUAGAAUACUAGUAACCACCAGAAAAGAAAAUGUUGCUAGUAUGAUGGAAGCAACCUCUCACAUGAUCAAUCUUGCAGAGUUGAGCGAACAAAAUUGUUUGUCAAUCUUCAAUCACAUGGCAUUUUCUAAUAGAGAAAUAGGCGAGUUUGAGGUGUUUGGAGAAAUCAGUAGGGAGAUUGUAAGAAAGUGUAAGGGUUUGCCACUUGUUGCAAAGACUUUAGGUAGUAUGAUGCGAGAUAAGAGGACAAGGAGUGAAUGGUUGAAGGUUCUGAAUAGUAAAAUAUGGGAUUGGGAAGAAGUGGAGCAAGAAGUUUUCCAGCCAUUAUUUCUAAGUUAUUAUGAUUUGGCCCCGAGAAACAAAUGUUGCCUUUUAUAUUGUGCUAUUUUUCCAAAAGAUUAUGAGUUUAGUAGAGAUGAGUUGAUUAAUCUUUGGAUGGCACAAGAUUAUCUUAAUUCUAGAGAGAAUAAAGAUAAAGGAAAAACUGGUCAAGCUGUUUUUGAUAAUUUAGUUGCUCGGUCUUUUUUUCAAGAUUUUAAGAAACAUUACGACACUGGUGCGAUAAUAGGUUGCAAAAUGCAUGACAUUGUACAUGACUUCGUGCAAUUUAUCACCAAGAAGGAAUGCUUGAGUACCGAGGCAGAGGUUGCAAACCGUAAAAUAGAGGUAUUGGGCAGUAAUCUUCGCCAUCUGACCUUAACAUCUGUGGUUGAUGAUCAAGCUUUACUUUCUAUCACUUCUCGGAAUUGCAAAAAUCUACGUACGCUCACAACAACUCACUCAAGUGUUGCUACGGUAUAUGCUAGUUUUAUUUUACAAGUUAAAUGUCUUAGGACGAUAAGGUUGUCUGGAAAUUCCAUCAAAGAACUCCCAAAAGAGAUUGGUGAAUUGGUACAUUUGAGGCAUAUUGAUUUGUCUAGGAGUAUAAAGUUGGAGAAGUUACCAGACACCAUUUGUGGUUUAUAUAACUUGUAUACCUUGGACCUUCGAAGAUGGAAAUCGCUACAUAAAUUGCCUGAUAACAUGGGAAAGUUGAUUAGCUUAAGGCAUCUUUACGUUGGGGAGAGUGACUCACUGAAGUACUUGCCAAAAGGGAUAGGGAGAUUAACAAGUUUGCAAACACUAGACGUUUGUCCUCUUUUUUCUGUUGACAAUGACGAAGCAUUUCAAGUUGGGGAUUUGGGAACCGUGAACCAGCUCCACGGCAGUCUCCAAAUAAGAAUUUUGGGGAAGGUGAAAGAUGGGAGUGAAGCACAACUGCGGGACAACAAGCAACUUUUUCAUCUCCAACUUGAUUUUGGUGAAGUGCGUGACAAGGCCGGAGAGAGCAGUGGACGAAAUAUGGAUGUCUUAAGACCACACGAUGAUCUGGAAUCUUUAGAGAUUUAUGGGUAUUUUGGCUCGACCUGGCCGAAUUGGUUGAUGUCUUUAAAAAAGUUGCGAUUCCUUACUCUGGAGGAUAAUUGUGUUUGUGAAAUUUUGCCUCCUCUUGGGAAAUUGCCGUUCCUUGAAGGACUCCACCUCGGGGCAAUGUCGGGUGUAAGAAAGAUUGGUGGUGAGUUUUUGGGAGUAGAAGAUGAUCAAACAUCUUCAUUCAAAUCAUCCUUGUCAAUAUUAUUCCCAAAAUUGAAGCGACUCCACUUUUACAACAUGUUGUCUUGGAAGGACUGGGGAGGCGUGAAAGGGUGGAACAAAGGAGAUUCUGGAAUUACUAUCAUGCCAUGUCUUUCUUCCUUAGACAUAACUAUGUGCUCUGAGCUAGAAACGCUGCCAGACUUCCUCUGCAAAAUGCCACUCAAGAAUCUUUCCAUUUUUUACUGUCCAACACUUGCCAAACGUUGCAAAGAAAGCAGUGGAGAGGAGUGGCCCAAGAUUUCUCACAUCCCAAACGUCAAGAUUUGUGCUAAUGACGUUUAAUCUUGGUGAGUUGCAGUGUUUUGAUUAUUUACUUCGUUUUGGAUAUGUACAAAUACAAUUAAUUUAAGGUGAAAAGUAUAUGAAAAAUAAUUAUAAUUAUUUGUAUUCCAAAUUGCAGAUAAUAGUGCAGAGGCCUAGGUCAAAUAAACCUCCAAGCUGUUUGGUGCGGCGCUAGUUCCCUCCUCAAGAAACGACGACGAUCAAAAUUUAACUGUAUUAAUUCCAAAAUCCCACUACGUUGAAUGAGUUGUUAAUUAAGGUAAGCUAGACAGUACUAUAUAUAUGUAUGUAUGUAUGUAUGUCAAGAAAACAUCUGCGGUUACUAAGUUCUAUGCAGUGAUUCACUAAAAUUAAAUAAGGAAAGUUUAACGAAAAGCUCUCUGUACUGUUCAUUUUAACGAAAAAUCACAUUUUUACACUAAAAAGUCAAUUUUGGUACUAUUCACUUUACUAUUUAUUUUGUCAUUAUCGUUAAAACUCAAAGUUUUCUAACCAUUUUUAUUAGUUUUCCUUUUAACAAGGGACAUAUACAAAAGAUAUUAAUAUUUUUCAACAAAAGAAAAUGUUAUUGGCACUUUCAAAAUCUCAUUUUACACUCUUCACAAGUAUAUUUUUCAUUCGUAAUAUAGAAAAUUUGGAGUGUAAAAUAAGAUUUUUGGAGUGCUAAUAAGAAUUCUCUUCAACAAAUUGUGGCUCAUUAGAGUUUUCUGCAAUAAUUUUGAUAAAUCCAAGUUAUUUACGAUAUUUAUUUAUUUAUUUAUUACAAGUGAUAUUACUAAUAUAAAAAAUUAGGUAUAAAUAUUAAAGAGAAGUCAAGCGUUUUAACUCGAGAUAUUGUGUGUACGUUAUACACUCAAUUUUCGAUGUACAUUAUCUUUUUAUUUGUAAAUUCCAUUUAGAUUUUGUGCAUGCAAUCAGCUGAAGUAACUGAGGAGCACUCGACCGCUGAAAGCAAAGGGACACUGCAACCUGCAGGGAGGGAGGAUGUCGAAGCAGGGUGAGGUCGUAUGCGUUACCGGUGGAAGCGGCUGCAUCGGAUCCUGGCUCGUCCGUCUCCUCCUCCACCGUGAUUACACCGUCCACGCCACCGUCAAGGAUCUCAGUAACUUCACCCUUGCUUUUCCCCUUAUCUACACAACCGCCACAGUUCCAUUCAUUCCAUUCGCGUUCAGUUCAAAAUUAAUAACGCCGUUGUUUUGUUUGUUGCAGAGGACGAUGGCGAGACGAAGCAUCUAGAAGCGUUAGUAGAGGGGGCAGAGUCGCGCCUCCGUCUCUUCCAGAUCGACCUCCUCGACUACAACUCCAUACUCGCCGCCGUCAAUGGUUGCUCCGGGGUCUUCCACCUCGCUUCUCCCUGCAUCAUCGAUACAGUCCACGACCCCGAGGUUCCCGCCAUAAAACAGUAUCAAAUUCCUUCUAAUUUUGAUUAUAUCUGAUUAAUUAUGCGAAAUUAUGCGUAAAUUUGAAAACGUGGUGCUUUUUUUUGUUUAUUCUGCAGAAGGAGCUCCUGGACCCGGCGAUCAAAGGAACGCUUAAUGUUCUGACGGCAGCGAAGAAGGCUGGGAUCAGCCGUGUGGUGCUGACGUCAUCCUCAUGCGCCAUCACUCCCAGCCCAAGCUGGCCGUCCGAUAAGGUCAAGGGCGAGGAUUGCUGGACAGACAUUGACUACUGCAAGCAGAAGGGAGUGAGUUACUCCAACGCCCUGUUUAAUGUCCGCAUUCAAUUUUCUUAUUGAAAGUAUGUUACUUUCGGUGCACGUUUCCCCUGCUUUUACUGUAUCUUUCAUCUUUUGAUUAUUAAUUCUUCAUUUUUAACUACUUGAAGUUUUCACAAUUGGGGACUGUAAUGCUGAUUGUGUUUGGUGUUUGGCUAGUUGUGGUAUCCAUUAUCGAAAACGCUGGCGGAGAAAGCUGCGUGGGAAUUUGCCAAGGAGAAGGGGCUGGAUGUCGUUGUGGUGAAUCCGGGCGCGGUGAUGGGCCCUGUUAUCUCGCCCAGGCUCAAUUCUAGCAUGUUAUUGCUCCUUCGCAUUCUUGAGGGUACUUUUCUCUGCAAAUUUGUAUUAGAAAAUCCUCUACGACUGCACCUAGAAGUAGAUUAUUGACUUUAUUUAUCCUCUAGCACUGCACUCUUAAAUUGUUUGAAUAAUCCACUAGCGGUUAUUGUUCUCUUGCCUGAUAGUAUGCCAUGUAAUGUUGCGAAAUUUGCACUUGAAUCAUAAAUUUAGACGAAAGUUGAUCUUUGAUUGACAGUUUGUACGAUGACAUAUCAUCUCAAUGGCAAGAGAACAUUUCCCAUUUAUUAUGUAUGAUGCUGUGGUUGGUUGAUGAACUAAAAAUGAGGUAAAAAUGAGGUAUUUUCUUUCUCUUAAGACAUUUUUGUUGUGCGGAAGCGGCAUUCGACUGUAAGUGAAUAGUAAAACAGAACAGAAACAAAAACCAACAUCAACAAGAACACCAAGAUUUAUACUGGUUCGGCAAUGCCUACAUCCAGUUUGGAGACGACGGAGUAUUCCACUAUAAUCAAUGAGAACAUACAAUAGUGUUUAUCACUCAAUUUCCCAAAGACCCAAAUAACCCAAGCUCUCACACUUACAAUAGGAAGAGAAAACCAAAAAAUACAAAGCAAGACAAUUUGAGAAAAUUUUUCUCUAUGCCGAAUGGCUUCUUGCUAUUUUUCUCUCUUCCUUGUUCUCCUCUUGUCUCUACUCCAUACUUAUGAGCUGCACCUUGCUCUCCUUUUAUAGCCAAAGAAAAGCUUCUCAAAGACAUCAAUGGCCAAAGGCCUACCAUCAAGUCAAAAGAGUUAGGCACAAAUUAGGCACAAAUUAGGCACAAAUGUUGUUUGCCUCCCAUUACCACAAAGUAGCCCAAAGAUUUGGACUUUGACUACAUGUUUGAGUCAAUAAUCAACAAUUUUUGCUAAGGAAAGAUUGAGUUUGGUACCUCAGCACUUGGAAGAUUUCUUCUUUCAUAACAGUCGAGAUUGCUAAUUGUUUUGCCGGUUAGUCCGUAAGCUUGAGAAGUUAGAUUGUGUGAGCAUGCGUAUGUGUAAUCAUAAAGGAACUCCUCUUCACCUCUUUUUUUAGCACAUGUUUCUUUAAGUUCUAAGGAUUUUCGAUAAAGUUUGUUUUGGAGAGGAAUGAGAAAAAGGAUGAGGCCCUAGAAAGUGGAAACAACAUAUAUAUAGUUUUGAGUUGCUCGAUCUUUGCUGCAGGUUGCACUGAAACAUAUGAGGACUUUUUUAUGGGAUCUGUGCAUUUUAAAGAUGUAGCUCUCGCACACAUUUUAGUGUAUGAGAACAAAUCAGCGACCGGUAGGCACUUGUGUGUGGAAGCUAUAUCACGUUAUGGUGACUUUGUGGCAAAGGUUGCUGAACUUUACCCUGAGUACAAGGUUCACAGGUAAGUUUUGGUCCACAAAAUGCAUUUGCAAAUGAAAUUGGGUGCAUAUCUUAUGUUUUAGAUGUUUGGUUUCCUGAUAAGUGAAUGUUUCGUCCCUUGUCAGAAGCACAACUUAAAAAUAUACUAUGUCUUGAUUUUUUAAACCGAGGUUUCUUAGAUGCACUGAACUCUUCUACAGCUAGAGGACCAUGGUUUUUUCUUUCUUUUUUUCCGUCCAUCAUGUGUUAUAGAUAUUUGAGACCAAAUUAGCGAAUUGAAAUCUGAUUUUGCCUAUAAAAGAGUUUUCAUGCGGGUAUAGAUUUGCAUACAUCAUCUUUCUUUGGUCUGUUUAGAAUCACUUCCAAAUGUUGCUUUCCAAGUUUAUCAACCGUUUGGUGCGUUCUCGCUUGCCUUGGAAGAAUUUUGUAAAUUUUUAGGUGGUGUGAGUGCCUGAUUUUGAAAAUGUUCGAGCUAGUAUGUUUACGUUUGUGUAGUUUGCCAAAGGAUACCCAACCCGGCUUGCUGAGGGAAAAGAGCGGAGCGAAGAAGCUAAUGAACUUGGGUUUAGAAUUCAUUCCCAUGGAUCAAAUUAUCAAGGAUGGUGUUGAGAGCCUAAAGAGCAAGGGAUUUAUUUCAUAAAUAAAACUGCAGGGAUAUGAAACUUAUCAUGGAUCUAGGUAUGUAUUGUACUAGUAGCGAGGACAUGUAGCCUGAAUGGUUGUUUCAACUCCUUUGAAUUUUCCUUUUUCUGUGAAGUAAAUAAUAUUAAUAUGAGUGUACGAUAAGUUUACCUUAAAUUUCAGACUUUAAUCGGGGAAUAUCAGUGCAUUGUUGGACUGGAACGCUAUGUGGUGGCUAACCAGUUCCACAUAAGUCCUCCCAGUCUACGUCAAAUUCUUUGUGUAAUAAGAGAAUUUCUCUUAAUUUUCACCGUACCGAAAGUUAAAAGGACUAAUAGCAAGUAAUUACGAACAUGGCUAGUACUGUGGAAGCUAAAGCAGCAGCAACAGCUCCUCCAUCUUCGGUGUUUGAUAUAAUGCGCCACCUUGGCGGGGGACAUUAGCAAAGUGGAUUCCAAUGUUCUCGAGAAAAUCCUACCAGAUUAAAUGUACGGACGAGCAGUUGAGGUGCGCACGGAAGAGUACCAUAGGCAGAGAUUUGAGUCCAGUUACUGAUAUGUUGUGGCGGAAUUUGUACGUGGAGUUCGGUGCUUCAAGGGCUGUUCAGGUGGUCGAAAACACCAAGAAGUUAUACCAUGCCUACAGUCUUGUGGAUAACGAGUUCAAAACUAAUUUAUUCCUUCAAUACUUAGUGCAAAUAUAUUGUUCUAUAAAAAAUAAAAAUAAAAAAUUAUACCAUUUAACACAACAUUAACCUGAUUUACAACGUCGGUACUCUCCCUAGCCUUGACCGGGCAAAGAGGGCAGUCGUUAAUUAAGUCUCACUGAAAGAAUGUGUAAACCGUACAAGUUACUGGCCUUGAAUAUGGUGAAACUUUAAACUUUGUUGGCGUUUAUAUCUCGUCAUGGUCCUGCUAUCUGCUCAACUGGUUUUCAUGCACGUAAGAUUAUAUUCUUACGUAACUAUAAACUUUUUUGGCGUUAAUUAACUUCUUGUGUUGUUGUAGCUGGUCUGCAAGUAGCCUGUGUUGGUUGUGCCGGAUUAGUUGCAUUUCCGGUGCUGAUAGAGAAGCUUUUGGAUAGACAUGGUUGAAUUUUAGCGCUUUGGCUAUGUUCUCCCAGUUUUGUAUGCUUAAAUUAGACAAUUUAGUACAUACAAAUCCAAUGAUCUUGUAUUAUCUUUUUUGUUCACUACAGUUCAGAUUUUUGUAAUUUGAAUGCGGACAACUGCAGAGCUUUUAACUCCACUCGAGAAAGACAUUCAGGUUCUGAGAAGAAGGUUUACGUUCUAAAACCAAAGAAAUAAGAGAUCAUGACCGUCGGCGAAACCAAAACCCCACCCUUUUCAACCGAUUCAAACAUUUCAAUCUCCCCGACUCUCUAGUCAACCGAGUAUUUUAUGGCCUGCCGUUGGUUCGGGUGCCGAUACAAGCCUUGUUGAAUUGUGGCCAAGUGGCCAUCACCUUUCCUAAUAAACAAACCAAAAGAAAAAAAAAAGGAGAAAGGACAACAAGAUUAUGUUUCCUUGUUUUGGGGAAAAGAAAAGUGAAAUUUGUCUAAAGUUUUUUCUUUGGUCCAUGUGAGAAGUCACGGGACUCUUGGGGUUUUUUAACUAGCAGCAAUAGUUGCCUUUUGGUGUGGGAAAAAGGUUGUCGCAUAGAAGAAAAAAUUAGAAGGGAGCAGCAGAAAGAAGAAGAGAGGUACGCAGCUCUCAUAUAAGAAAGAAAGGUGAUUUUCUUUCUUGGUUAGUUCUCACUCCAUCAAAGUUUUAUUGUUGUAAUAGCUUUGAGCUUUGUAUAGAGAAGAAAUUAAUCACUAUAUUUCUUUCUCUAUUUGUUUCUUUAGUGUGUGAGAGUUAUUGGGUGUAUUAGGUUAUUUGGGUUGUGAGAUUACCAACACUUUGUAAACUCCCAUUUGGUUGAUAGUGGAUUAUUGGGUGAGCUCCUACUGCUCCGAAGACGUACUCCAGUUACAUUGACUGUUGAGGAACCUCGUUAAAAUCUUGGUGUCUUUAAUAUUUUGUUCUUGCAUUUCAUUUGAUAUAUUUCCUGUGGGUUCAAAAGAGUUGGUUCUAAAAGGUUUGGUGCUAUCCUAGCACAACAAUUGGUAUCAGAGCACUGGUUGCUCUUGGGUACUGUCUAGUUGCCAAAGAUGUCAGACGGGCAAGAUGAAAAUCCUUUUGGAAGCAGCUCCGGGUUUGCAAGAACUACGGUGCAAAAUGCAAAGUUCGAAGUGAAAAAGUUUGAUGGCACAAACAACUUCGGGAUGUGGCAAUGUGAGGUCAAAGAUGUGUUGGCUCAACAAGAUCUACUUGCCGCUUUGGGAGAGAAGCCGGAAGCUAUGUCGAAGCCGGAAUGGGAGAAAUUAAAUUUGUGGGCUUGCUCUUCAAUUUGGUUGUGUCUUGCAAAAACUCAGAAGUAUUUUGUGAUGCGGGAGACAUUAGCAAGUGUGUUGUGGCAAAAAUUGGAAGACAAGUAUAUGACGAAAAGUGCAGAGAACCGGCUACACUUGAAGAAAAAGCUCUACCGCUUCCAAUACAAAGAAGGUACGAAAAUGAUUAGACACCUUGAUGCUUUUAAUAAGUUGAUUGCCGACUUAUUAAAUUUAGAUGAGGAUAUUAAGGAUGAAGACAAGGCCUUAAUAUUGUUGAAUUCCUUGCCGGACUCUUAUGAGCAUUUUGUUACCACUAUUAUGCAUGGUAAAGAAACUGUGAAAUUUGAAGAUGUGUCAAAUGCCUUGAUGAAUUAUGAGGCAUAGAGAUAAAACCCAUGAUAGUAACUCUGAAGCUUUAUUUGUUAGAGGUAGAUCAUCGGAGAGAAGAUCAUCUUCUAGUAGGAAAAAAUCACAGUCUCGACCUAGAGGAAACUCUAAAGGUAGAAAACCUUUGGAAAAGGAUGAAUGUGCCUUUUGUCGUAAUAAGGGCCAUUGGAAGAAAGAUUGUCCUAAAUUGAAGACCAAAGGCAAAGAAAGUUCUGAAGCUAAUGUUGCUGAGGUUGAAAUAGAUUUUCUGAUUUUGCUUUAACCACUUCCUCAUCAUUUGAUUGUGCUACUAAGUGGGUGUUGGAUACGGGUUGUACUCAUUAUAUGACUCCUCACAAGGAUUGGUUUUCAAGCUUGAAAGAGUUUGAUGGUGGUGGUGUGUUCAUGGGAGAUGACAAUCCUUGCACAACAAAAGGAAUUGGUACAGUUCGUUUGAAGUUGCAUGAUGGCAUGGUUAAAGAGUUGACAGGUGUUCGGUAUGUACCGAAUUUGAAGAAAAUCUUAUUUCUUUGGGUACUUUGGAAUCCAAGGGCUUCAGGUUUCAUUCAGAUGGACAGACAUUGAAAGUUACUUAUGGUGCACUUGUUAUGAUGAAAGCUCCUCGAUGUGGCCAUUUGUAUUUAUUGCAGGGAAGCACUGUGACAGGUGAAGCAUCUGUAGUCUCUGAAAAUAUGGGCACAUCUGAUUCAGAUACUACUAGACUGUGGCAUAUGAGAUUAGGCCAUGCCGGUGAGAAAGCUCUACAAGGGCUUGUGAAACAAGGUCUUAUAAAAGGUGCCAUGACUUGUAAACUUGAUUUCUGCGAGCAUUGUGUCUUGGGGAAGCAAACUAGAGUGAAGUUUGGUACUGCUGUACAUCAGACGAAGGGCAUUCUUGAUUAUGUGUAUUCGGAUGUUUGGGGUCCUACAAAGACUCCCUCUUUGAGUGGUAGACAUUGGUUCGUGACCUUUGUUGAUGAUUAUUCAAGAAGGUCUUGGGUCUACACUAUGAAGCACAAGAGUAAGGUGUUGAGCAUUUUCUUGGGUUGGAAGAAAAUAGUUGAGAACCAGACUGGGAGAAAGAUUAAGAUUUUGAGAUCGGAUAAUGGUGGUGAAUACACAUCCGAUCCUUUCUUUAAAGUUUGCAAAGAGGAAGGAAUUGUGAGACAUUUCAGUGUUCGGGGAACUCCACAACAAAAUGGAGUUGCAGAAAUAUUGAAUCGAACCUUGCUUGAGAAGGUUAGAUGUAUGUUGUCUCAGUCGGGUUUAAGCAAGUCAUUUUGGGCAGAGGCAGUUAAUUAUGCAUGUCACAUCAUCAACCGGUUACCCUCAGCUGCUGUUCAGGGUAAGACACCAAUGGAGGUAUGGACUGGAAAAAGUUCUUCUGAUUAUGACUAUAUCCGUAUUUUUGGUUCACCUGCUUAUUUUCAUGUGACUGAAAAUAAACUUGAUCCUAGAGCCAAAAAGGCUAUCUUUCUUGGUUUUAGUAGUGGUGUUAAAGGUUACAGGUUGUGGUGCCCAGAGAUGAAAAAACUUGUAAUUAGCAGAGAUGUGACAUUUGAUGAAGAAAGUAUGUUCAAAGACUCUGAGAAGAAUGUGAAAGAUGUCCAACAGGUGGAGCUUGAGAAAGUUGCAUCUGGUACUUCAAAUCCUAUUUCCGUUGAUGUCGAAGCCACUACAAGUGAAGAAGUUGGAGACCAUGAGGAUGUUGAAGAAGUUGAACUUGAAGAUUCUAUUCAAGUUGAAGAGCAAGUUUCACCUCAAGAGUCUAUUGCCAAGAACAGAGGAAAGAGACAAAUUACCAAGCCAGCUCGGUAUAGUGACUAUGUUUAUUUUGCUCUUCCUAUUAUCACUGAUGAGAUUCCAUCCAAUAUCGAGGAAGCCAUUGAGAGUGAGGAGAAUGAGAGGUGGUGCAAUGCCAUGGGUGAUGAGAUGAAUUCUCUCUUGAAGAACAAGACUUGGGAGUUAGCUAAAUUACCUAAGGGCAAGAAAGCUAUUGGUUGCAAAUGGGUGUAUGCCAAGAAGGAAGAUGCUGAUGAGAAAAACAAUGUGAGAUUCAAAGCAAGAUUAGUUGCUAAAGGGUAUGCACAAAAGGAGGGCAUUGAUUACAAUGAAAUUUUUUCUCCGGUUGUGAAACACUCCUCAAUUCGUAUUAUGUUAGCUCUUGUUGCACAUUAUGAUCUUGAGCUUGUGCAACUUGAUGUGAAGACGACUUUCCUACAUGGUGAUUUGAAUGAAGAGAUCUAUAUGUGUCAACCGGAUGGGUAUAUAGUGAAAGGGAAGGAAAAUUUGUUUUGCAAAUUGAAGAAAUCGCUUUGUGGCUUGAAGCAAUCUCCAAGGCAAUGGUAUUUGAGGUUUGAUAAAUUUAUGAGAGGCCAAAAUUAUUCUAGAAGUCAAUAUGAUCAUUGUGUGUACUUCAAGAAGUUGAAAGAUGGGUCUUUCAUUUAUUGUUGAUAUAUGUUGAUGAUAUGUUGAUUGCCUCAAAGAAUGUUGAAGAGAUUGAAAAAUUGAUGAAGCAAAUGAAGAAUGAGUUUGAGAUGAAGGAUCUUGGUGAAGCGAAGAAGAUCCUUGGCAUGGAGAUCACUAGAGAUAGAGAGAAGGGUUUGGUCAGUUUGAAUCAAAGACAAUACCUUGAGAAGUUGAUUCAGAAGUUUGGAGUUCAUGAUUCAACCAAACCGGUUAGUAUUCCUUUGGCUCCUCAUUUUAAAUUGAGUUCUCUACAAUGUCCUAAAAAUGAUAAAGAGAAGCUGCAAAUGAAAAGUAUACCAUAUGCAAAUUUGGUUGGUAGUUUGAUGUAUGCAAUGGUAUGCUCUAGACCGGAUAUUACUCAUGCAAUUGGCAUGGUGAGUCGAUAUAUGCAUAAUCCAGGUAAAAAGCAUUGGCAAACAGCUAAGUGGAUAUUGAGAUAUCUCCAUGGUACUCGAGAUGUUGGUUUAUGCUUUGAGAGGGAUGACUCUGGUAUUGGUCAUUUUGCAGUUGGUUAUGUUGAUUCAGAUUAUGCAGGUGAUCUGGAUGGAAGGAAGUCUACUACAGGCUAUGUGUUUACUAUGGCUAAAUGGCCAGUUUGUUGGAGGUCCAUUUUGCAGUCGUCUGUUGCCUUGUCUACUACAAAGGCUGAAUAUAUGGCAGUUGCUGAAGCUAUAAAGGAGGCCAUUUGGAUACAUGGGCUGAUUAGAGAUUUGGGGGUUGAUCAGAAGCAGGUGGAGGUACAUUGUGAUAGUCAAAGUGCCAUUUAUUUGGCUAAAUAUCAGGUUCAUCAUGCGAGGACCAAGCACAUAAAUGUGCGUUAUCACUUUGUUCGUGAAAUUGUUAGUGAAGGGGAAAUCAUUCUCCAGAAGAUUCCAACUAAAGACAACCAUGCUGAUAUGUUGACUAAGGUUGUUGGUGUAGCCAAGUUUGUUCACUGUUUGAACUUGGCUCACAUUAUGCCUAUAUAAAGAAGGCGUUGAGCAGUAGGAGUUUUGGAGCAUUUGGCUCGGCAUGAAUUGUUCUCUUGCUAGUGUUUGGGAGUGAUUUUUUGGGUCAAUUGUGUUGGUUGGCUUAUCAUGGCGUUUUCGGAACUUGGCCAAGGUGGAAAUUGUUGAAUUGUGGCCAAGUGGCCAUCACCUUUCCUAAUAAACAAACCAAAAGAAAAAAAAGGGAAAGGACAACAUGAUUAUGUUUCCUUGUUUUGGGGAAAAGAAAAGUGAAAUUUGUCUAAAGUUUUUUCUUUGGUCCAUGUGAGAAGUCACGGGACUCUUGGGGUUUUUUAACUAGCAGCAAUAGCUGCCUUUUGGUGUGGGAAAAAGGUUGUCGCAUAGAAGAAAAAAUUAGAAGGGAGCAGCAGAAAGAAGAAGAGAGGUACGCAGCUCUCAUAUAAGAAAUAAAGGUGAUUUUCUUUCUUGGUUAGUUCUCACUCCAUCAAAGUUUUAUUGUUGUAAUAGCUUUGAGCUUUGUAUAGAGAAGAAAUUAAUCACUAUAUUUCUUUCUCUAUUUGUUUCUUUAGUGUGUGAGAGUUAUUGGGUGUAUUGGGUUAUUUGGGUUGUGAGAUUACCAACACUUUGUAAACUCCCAUUUGGUUGAUAGUGGAUUAUUGGGUGAGCUCCUACUGCUCCGAGGACGUACUCCAGUUACACUGACUGUUGAGGAACCUCGUUAAAAUCUUGGUGUCUUUAAUAUUUUGUUCUUGCAUUUCAUUUGAUAUAUUUCCUGUGGGUUCAAAAGAGUUGGUUCUAAAAGGUUUGGUGCUAUCCUAGCACAACAAGCCUUACCUCAAUGGCCUCGAAUCCGGAGAACGAAUCUACAGCCUCGAGAGAGGUCGAGAAGCCUCCGAUUGAGCCAGUUCGGCUGCCGACGGUGGAGGAGAUGCACGGUCAAGACAUUUGGAACAACUGCGCUGUCCGUAGCGUCGUUAGUGGAGUUAUGGGUAUGGUUAAAGUUCUUUCAUUUGCUUAAUUUUUGGAUUCUCUCACAUGGGUUUUUGUUUGUUUUCCUCUCUUUGUUUGGUUGCCGAGAAAAUGUGGGAAAAAGUAAGUCUUUUUUUUUAGUGUUGGUUUUUUUUCCCUUUAUUUCUGUUUGGUUGCCGAGAAAACUUUGGGAAGUUACUGUCUUUUUGUUUGUAUGUGGUCUCAGAAUUGUAUUGUUGUGGGGUUCAGAAAGUGCAGAAGAUUGGUGUAUUAGUAAGGUUGUGAUAGAUAUAGUCUAAAUUUCGUUACUUUUAAGUGAGUAUUGGGGUUUGCUCUAUAUAGCAAACUCUACCAGAAGGUUACAUUGUUGUUUACAUUGAUUUUGGCCCGGAAAAGCACUUGGAAGUGCUUUCCCAGAAGAGCUUUUAAGUCUAUCAACUAGAGUUUUUCCAUGUACUUUUGUAUAGAACUUAACACUAAACAGAUGUUGAUUGUUAAUUCUAUAAGCUUUGGAAAUUUCAUAGGUUGUGGGCUUGGGUUGAUGAUGGGUUUGCUUCUCGGAGCGUUAGACACCCGUAUAAUGCAAGACGAAAUGACUGGUAAACGACAAUUCAUUUAGCAAGCAAAGUCGAUGGGCCGGAGGAGUUGGAGUUCUGAAAAAGCAUUUGCAGUUAUGGGAUUGGUUUUCUCAGCUGCCGAGUGUGUUGUUGAAAAGGUAUUCUGGAUAUGUCAAAAUUCAUGAUCGUAAAUUUUAUUUGAUCGAUGAGGUUUAAUUUCUUUGCUAUAGGGACUAAUUCUGGAUUAUUGUUUUCAGGCACGGGCUAAACAUGACACAACAAAUACAGUUGUUGUUGGAUGUAUAACUGGAGGUGCACUGUCAGCCAAAGGUAACCAACUUUCUCCAUCAGUUAUCAUCGUUUCUUUAUUGAUAUACAAGGCUUUGAGGGCGACCCUUGCCCUAAAAGACACGUGAUAUAACAUGGGUGAAAGAAGAGUAAACCGGACAAGUACCGGCCUUGUAGGUGUUAUUCUCAUCAUGGUCCAUGUUAAGAUUAGACCCUUACGCCUCUUUAUGUUGUCCUGUUGUAGCUGGUCCGCAAGCAGCCUGUGUUGGUUGUGCUGGCUUUGCUGCAUUUUCGGUGCCGAUAGAGAAGUUUUUGGAUAGACUUGAUUGAGUUUGAGCGCGUUGCCUGUGCUGCCCCAGUUUUGCGGACACUCAAAAUAUGACAAUUCAGCAGAAGUGCCCUGCGCUGAUACAAAUGUUUUGUGCUUAGGUUGAACUUCAGCCCUUGUUAUGGUUAUUUAUCCAAAAUUGUUUAUGAAGGGAUGUUCUAGCGAACAUACAAAUCCAAUGAUUUUGUGUAAUGCAUUCACUCGACUACAGUAGAGAUUUUUUGAGAAUCUACACCGUAUUUUUAGCGGUACUAUCAUUGAUUUAGAUUUGUAAUUCAACAAAUGAACACCCAAACGAAAGGAUUAAUUCCCGGUAGGAAGUCUCAACUCGAGAAAGAUAUUCAGAUUUUGAGAAGGUGAUUUGCGCUCUAAAGAAAUGAGCUUGCUUGCUGGAUAGGCAUCAAGGCAAAAUCUUGGUAAAUCAAGGCAAAAUCUUGGUAAAUCAAAGAAUCUUGCUUUAUAAAAUCAAAGAAACUUAACAAGUCACCAUAGACGGUUUGGAUGGAAUUUAUCGUGAUAAUUAAAUAAGCAAAUGGUCUUGGAUUAAAUUGAAUUUUUGCAACAAACAAUGAAAUUGACCAACACUUGUUCUAUAAGAAACAACGAAAUUUCAUCGAUAUAAUUGAAUAGACAAAUGGUUUUGAACAUUAGUAGCUUGAGAUCUAAUAUAAUUUUUUUUUUCAAAAAAAUAAUUACCUAAGAGAACAGGGGCACGAAUGCCAAAUUCCGCUUCACCGUGACAUAUAUGCUUGCUUCUGUCAUUGAGGAUUGAUUCGUAAUCCAUCAUGUUCGUUUAUAUGAGAUUCUGAGAAGAAGGUUUACGUUCUAAAAAAAAAUUAGUCUGCUUGCCGACCAGUGGCGGAGGCAGUUAAGGACUACAAUAGUCCUAAGCCUACUCUCACUUAAAAAAUAAGAUUAGUCUACUACACCUAUUUCUAUUGCUUUGCAGCCCUUCUCAACAACUAAAACAAAUUCAAUCAUUAUCUAUUUUUCAUCUCAUAGAUACCAUCCCAAAAAUAAGUAUAUAUUUUAAAUAGUCAUUUAUCACAAGGAGUAGUGCUAUAUGCAUACAUUUUUUUUACCUUUAACACAUUCUUGUUAAUUUAUGUUAUUCGAUAUUCAAUUUAUUCAAUCAGAUGAUCGCAAAUUGAAAGGGUGUAUGGAAAGCAAAAAGAGGUGUGUGGAUAGCACAAUUCUCUCACAAAUCAAUAACAUUAAAUUAAAGCCCAUCAUUCACUUUUAAUUAAAAUAAAAUCGUCUUUCACUUAUGCAUGGGGAGAGUUUUUACCUUUUCUUAUUGAAUUUCAUAUAUUUAGCCAUUCUAAAUCCCAAAUUUAUUGAAUAAAGAACAAAAAGGUUUGUAAUACUCUAUUAUUCAUUAUAAAACAUUUGUUUCUAUUCUAUCCCACCUCUUACUUGAGUUUAGGGUUUGCAAAGAUUUUCGUACUUCUCUCUAUUCAGUUUAAUAAUUAUUUAAAUACUAUAGAUGACAUUAUGCAACUUUUUCAUUGCAAUUCGUCAAGAAUAAUUUUGAUUACUAUGGAUAGAUAAAAUUAUCUAUGCAUAUGUUAAUUUUGACUACUUAAUUAUUUGGAUAACUAUUAUGAUGUUUUGCAUUAGUAAUUUUAUAACCACUAUUCGUUUUUUCUUCUUCUAUACUUGUUUGAGGCCCCUCCUCACAAGAAAUCUUGGCUCCGGCACUGUUGCCGACACAGCCACUAUAGAUUCACCCCUCGAAAUUUGUUAUUCCUUUCAUCCAAGGAGAGCAAACAGCAGCAUCAAGGCAAAUCUUUUUGGUAAUAAGAGCAAAGAAUCUUGCUUUGUAGAAAGCAAGCAAGAAAACAAAGGUGUCCACCGUCUAUAUAAACUAGCAAAGUAGACAAGCAAUCGCACAACCAUCCUGCAUCAUUAAGUUUAUCUUCAUAUAUACUUUCCUACACGGCUGACUUUUUCUUCCUCUCUACUCUCAACCGAUUUCUAAGUUUCUAACCCUGAAAAUGGCCGAUGCGCUCAUUUCCAUUCUACUAGAAAACUUGGCUUCAACAACUUAUCAAUAUGUAGCAGACGAGGUGAUACUCGUUCUGAACAUUAAGAAAGAAGUUGAAGAAUUCGCUGACAACCUCAAAGCUAUUGAAUCUGUGCUUGAGGAUGCAGAGCGAAGGCAAAUGAAGGAGGUCAACGUGCAAAACUGGCUGGAUAACCUGAAGGAAAUAUCGUACGAGAUGGUGGAUGUGGUGGAUGAGUGGAACACGGACAUCCUGAGACAAGAAUUUAAGAAACAAGAAAGACAAGGUGCAACUCAUAUUACUCCUCAGAGGAAGGUAAGUUUCGCUAUCUUCGCUCGUUGUUUUUGUCUUGGCCAAGUCGGCAAGAUAAUUAUUCGUCGUAAAUGCUCUCAAGAUAAAAGAUCUAAAUGAGCAGUUAGCUGGGAUUUAUAAGCAAAGAAAAAUGUAUAAUUUUCAAAUCACUGAAAGAACAGCAAACUUCGUCUUUUGUCGAUAUGUUUGAGAUAUUUGGUCGAGAAAAGGAAAAAGAUAGUUUGAUAAGGAAGUUGGUGAGUGAUGCUAGUGAAGAAGGGAUGAGGCUCCUCAUCAUCCCUAUUGUAGGGAUGGAAGGCAUGGGAAAGACAACUUUGGCUCAGUUAGCCUGUAAUGAUGCCACUGUUGAAGCUCAUUUUUAAAAGAGAAAAUGGGUUUGUGUGUCAGAACCUUUCGAUGAGAUAAAGAUUGCCAAAGAGAUUAGUGGUGAUGCCUCCUCAAGUUCAAUUGGGUUGGAUCAUGUCUUAGAAUCUAUCUUAGGAUCCAUUAAGGGGGUAAAAUUUCUUCUUGUGUUGGAUGAUGUGUGGAACGACGACUUCAAAAAGUGGGAUCAAUUAAGGAUUCCAUUGAUGCAAAAUGGGGCUGAGGGCAGUAGAUUACUAGUAACCACUCGAAAACAAAAUGUUACUAGUAUGAUGACAGCAACCUCUCACAUGAUCAAUCUUGCAGAGUUGAGUGAAGAAAAUUGUUUGUCAAUCUUCAAUCACAUGGCAUUUUCUAACACAGAAGUAGACGAGUCUGAGGUGUUUGGAGAUAUCAGUAGGGAAAUUGUAAAAAAGUGCAAGGGUUUGCCACUUGUUGCAAAGACUUUAGGUAGUAUGAUGUGCAAUAAGACAACCAGGAUUGAAUGGUUGGACGUUCUGAAUAGUAAAAUAUAGGAUUGGGAAGAAGUGGAGCAAGAAGUUUUCCCGCCAUUCUAAGUUACUAUGAUUUGGCCUCAAGAAAUAGAUGUUGCCUUCUAUAUUGUGCUAUUUUCCCAAAAGAUUACGAGUUUAGUAGGGAUGAGUUGAUUAAUCUUUGGAUGACACAAGAUUAUCUUAAUUCCAGGGAGAAUAAAGAUAAAGGAAAAAUCGGUCAAGUUGUUUUUGAUAAUUUAGUUGUGCGGUCUUUUUUUCAAGAUUUUGAAAAACACCUUGACACUGGUACAAUAAUAGGUUGUAAAAUGCAUGACAUUAUACAUGACUUUGUGCAAUUUAUCACCAAGAAGGAAAGUUUGAUUAUGGAGGGCUGAGGGUGCAAACUGUAAAAUAGAGGUACUGGGCAGUAAUCUUCGCCAUUUGAACUUAAAGUCUAAAGCUUAUCGUCGAGGUGUACUUUCUAUCACUUCUGACAAUUGCAAAAGUCUAUGUUGGAAUGCAUGCAAGUCAUAUCUUUUGUUAAAAUGCAUGCAUGAAAUAAACAUGUUGGAUGACUAGUGAAGUUAGGCUAGUCAACCUUCUUUGUGUAAAUUAGGCAAGUUAGGCAAGUUAGGAAAUUAGGCAAGUUAGGCAAGUUAGGCAAGUUAGGCUUAUGUUCUCUUUCUUUUCCUAUAUAAUGUUUCAUCUUGUAAUUGUUUUGAUAUGAAAUACACAUAAAAAAUUCAACAUGGUAUCAAAGCAGGAACUCGAAAUUCCUGGCUCUGUUGAUCGUUUCCGCUAAGUUUCUUUUACUCUAAGCCAAGAUGGCUGUAGAACAUUAUGAAGCUGAGUGCUCGAUGGAUGCUCUGUUGAUCAUUUCUGCUAAGUUUCUUUUACUCUAAGCCAAGAUGGCUGAAGAACAUUUACUCUAAGCCAAGAUGGCUGGAGAACAUUUACUCUAAGCCAAGAUGGCUGGAGAACUUUUACUCUAAGCCAAGAUGGCUGGAGAACAUUUACUCUAAGCCAAGAUGGUUGGAGAACAUUAUGAAGCUGAGAGCUCGAUGGAUGCUUUAGCUUUACCUAACGUUGUUCAAGUUUGCGGCACGAAGCCAUUUCAAGUUUGUUUGUUUGCGGCACGAAGCCAUUACUGUUUGUUUGCGGCACGAAGCCAUUUCAAGUGGGAAUUUGGUAACAUGGCGCAGCAAGAAGCAAAGCGUUAUUUUUACUAAACCUCUUCCUACGGUUCAGUUCAUGCGCAUUCUGUCCAAGCUUGGCUCAAGGAAUCCCCUCGAUCCAGCUUGAGGGGGAGUGUUGGAAUGCAUGCAAGUCAUAUCUUUUGUUAAAAUGCAUGCAUGAAAUAAACAUGUUGGAUGACUAGUGAAGUUAGGCUAGUCAACCUUCUUUGUGUAAAUUAGGCAAGUUAGGCAAGUUAGGAAAUUAGGCAAGUUAGGCAAGUUAGGCAAGUUAGGCAAGUUAGGCUUAUGUUCUCUUUCUUUUCCUAUAUAAUGUUUCAUCUUGUAAUUGUUUUGAUAUGAAAUACACAUAAAAAAUUCAACAGUCUACGUACGCUGAUAGCAAUUAAUUCAAGUGUUGAUAGGGUAGGCGCUAGUUUUAUUUUAGAAUUUAAGUGUCUUAGGACGAUAAAUUUGUUUGGAAAUUUCAUGGAUGUACUCCCACAGGAGAUUGGUGAAUUGGUGCAUUUGAGACAUAUGGAUUUGUCUUGGAGUGAAAAGUUGGGGAAAUUACCAGACGCCAUUUGCGGUUUAUACAAUUUGUAUACCUUGGACCUUCGGGGAUGCUAUGCACUUGAAAAAUUGCCUGAUAACAUGGGAAAAUUGAUUAGCUUAAAGCAUCUUUACGUUGGCCAUUGUGACUCGUUGAAGUACUUGCCAAAAGGGAUAGGGAGAUUAACAAGUUUGCAAACACUAGACGUCUGUCCUAUGUUUCCAGUUGAUAGCGUCAGAGCAUUUCAAGCUGGGGAUUUGGGAAGUUUGAACCAGCUCCAGGGCAGUCUCAGAAUAAGCAUUUUGGGGUAGGUGAAAAACCGGAGUGAAGCACAAUUGCGGGACAAGAAGCAACUUUUUCAUCUCCAACUUGAUUUUGGUGAAGUGCGUGAGGAUCUGGAAUCUUUAGAGACCAAUGUGCAAAUAAUGAAUGUCUUACGACCACAUGAUGAUCUGGAAUCUUUAGGGAUUUAUGAGUAUUCUGGCUCGACUUGGCCGAAUUGGUUGGUGUCUUUAAACAAGUUGCGAUUCCUUACUCUGCAGUAUAAUUGGGGUUGUGAAACUUGGAAGAUUGCCGUUCCUUGAAAAGCUAUACGUAAGGGGGAUGGGUGUAAGAAAGGUUGGUGGUGAGUUUUUGGGAGUAGAAUAUGAUGAUCAAACAUCUUCUUUGUUCAAAUCAUCCUCAUCAAUAUUAUUCCCCAAAUUGAAGCAACUCAAAUUUAAUGACAUGUGGUAUUGGAAGGAUUGGGAAGGCAUGAAAGGGGGGAACAAAGUUGUUUAUACCAUAUUUAGGGCCUCGUAUUUAGACCUCGUAUAAAUACUCGAGGGACUUAAAUGUAAUUAUGUAAUAAAGGAAGGGGCAAAUAUGUAAUUAGGGGAGGAUCCCUUAUUCUAUAAAAGGGCAUCUUCACCCUCACAAACUUUAAGCCUCUCCUAUCUAGAGCAAAGCUUUCACACUCUCUCCUUCGCAAAUACUCUCAGAGAAAUACAAUCAGUGUGGACGUAGCCCAAACCUUGGGGUGAACCACGAUACAUCUUGUGUUAUUUACAUUUCAUGUAGAUUCACGGUCGGAUUUACGUUGUUCCAAGACCUCCGGUUUUAUGCAUCAACAUUUGGCGCCGUCUGUGGGAAACGACAUGAAAAGUUAUGUCGUUUCUCUCUCAAUUUUUCAUCUCACCACCGUGAAACCUUCACAACCUCACCACUAUCCACCGUAGAUCUGAAAAACCCACACAGAGACACAAUCGUUUUCUCUGACAAAAUCUCAUAAACUCGUUCAGAGACGAGACCACAAACUAACAACCCUCUUCUUUUUUUCACCUUUGACCGUACUUCUUGGUGAGUUCAAAUUUCCAAUUGAAAUCCCAGUAGCAGAAAUGCAAAUGUUAAAUAUCACUUUGAAUUGGAGGCCUCUUUCGACUUCCACUCCAUGAUCGAAUCCUAAGCUCGAAUUCCAAGCACUAUCAGUCGCGGAGCUCAAAGAGCGCCACGCGGUGGCGAGCGACACCGUCAACUCGCUAAGAGAGCGGUUGAAGCAGAAGCGCGUUUCCUUACUUGACACAGAUGUGGCUGGGUAUGUAAGGUCACAAGGGAAGACUCCCCGCCAAGCUCAACGCACAGAUCCGCCAAGCUCAACGCAAAGAUCCGCCGCGACCCACUCGAUCGUUUUUUAUUUUCAGAGAGCACCAUGGCCUUUGUAUUAUCUUUUCCUGUAAAACUUCAUCCUUCAAACCAUCAGGUGGGGUAGAUCCUGCUUUCCUCCAUCAUGGCUUCGCAGGAUAAAGGUUGACCGCUACCGAAAUUCGGGGAAUGGGAUGUAAACUACCCAGCUUCAGCUGAAGGAUUUACUGUUAUAUUUAACAAGGUCAAAGUUGACAAGAAGACCAGUGUGGCUCAUCUCCAUAGCCGGUCCUCCGUGGCAGCUCUUCACCAUCACCCGGCCUUUCAAACUUAGUCCUCCCAUAGCUCGGCCUUCUCGACGGCUCUUCGCCGUUUAGCUAAAAAUAUGGGUGAUAGGUAGCAUGCGCUUUGUUGAAGUGGCUUUGGUAGAACCAGAUAAACGUGUUGUAGCACUGGCAGAUGCGUAUUUCUUCCCACCCUUCCAGCCGUCAUUGUUUCCCAGAACCAAAGGUGGACCUAUGAUUCCUAGUGAACUUCCUCCAAGGCAAGCGAGACUUGUGGUUUAUAAUAAAAGAUCAAAUGAGACGAGCAUCUGGAUUGUUGAACUAUCAAAGGUGUAUGCAACAACUAGAGGUGGUCACCAUAUGGGUAAAGUCAUUUCAUCCAAAGUUGUUCCAGAUUUUCAGCCCCCCGUGGUAUAUAAGCCCAGGCCCAUAGAGUCCCCCACUGCCCCUUCCACAGCUUUCGCACCAACACAUACAAGCUCACUUUCAUGAAGUCCCCUUUCUGGCAUUAAAAUUAUAUUGGUUACACAUCCUAGAACUGGUGACUUGAGGGAGUCUCAAAAGCUACAUUUACAACUUGUAUGUCGAGUAUGUGGUGACUUAAGAGCCGAAAGAUCCAAAUUCAAAGAGGAGUCGAGUGUGAGGUGGCUGCUUUUUCUGAUGUUUCUGCUGCCGUGUUUCAGCCCGUCGCCUCCAAUAUCUCCAUUCUUGAGCAGUGAUAGGAGCAUAUUUAUGCGACUGAGUUAGCUUGUUCUCAUGCAUUUAUGUUGUUAUUUCUUAGUUAAUUAUGUAUUUUAAGUUAUUUUCGUGUGUUUGUAGGUCCAAUGGGUUAAUGUGGCAAAUAAGUGCAUUUUGGAGCAUUUUUAGGCAUGGAAUGGAUAGCUUAUGCUUAGAGCAAAAGGAAUGGACGAAAUUUGAAGUUUGUGCAUCAUCAUCUCCCUAUAAAUAACCGUUUUAGCACACUCAUUUCACCCAACACAUUCACCUACCAUUACAUACACUCAUUUCACCCAACACAUCCACUCAUUACAACCACCCAACACAUUCACCUACCACUACAUCCACUCAUUUCACCCAACACAUCCACUCAUUUCAACCACCCAACACAUUCACCUACCACUACAUCCACUCAUUACCACCACCCACUACAUCCUCUUCCUAGCCUAUAAAUACAUUCAUCCACCCUUCAUCAAAAGAGAGAUAUAUCAAUCAAAACACAUCCAUUCAUCUUCACAUCCAUUCCUCCAUAGAAACAAACCUUCAAACACUUGCCAACACCUUGUGCCGUAGCAAAAGAAUGGAAGGAAAGUGCUUGGAUGUGCUUGUUGUCCAACUUGGAUCGUUGGAGUGUUUAUGUGUUUUCUUUCUUUUGUUUCCAAUGUUUAAAUUCAUUUUAUUUUGUUUUGUUGUGAAGAUGAGUGGUUAAACCCCUCUUGGCUAGGGGUGAUUUCAAAGCCAUGAUUAUGUGUGUAAUAUGAUUUGAUAAAUUCCAGUUAUGAACUCUUGAAUCGUAAAUGCAAUUGGCUUAACUAUUUGAUUGAUAACUUAUUUGUAUUUGUUGAUUAAGGGUCGACACUUAAUUGGCAUGCAUUAAUCCGUUGCUAGAAUAUAAAGAAGUUUCACAUAAUCGCUACAAACUUAUAUUCACAUGUAGUGAAGGUCGCUUAUAAACAAUCGUGUUAAGUUCAAUUCCUAGCAUGAGUGACAUGAUGCCAUAGUUGCAAGUGUUUUGUCAAUGCUUAUGAUUUUCAUUAAACGUAAUGAUAUUUGAUUGUAUCUCUAUUAUGAUGUCAUGUAGGGAACUUUAGAAUAAUGUUUUGGGUUGCCAAAUGAUGUCAUCCAAUCAAAUAAAACAAGGAAAAUCUUAGAGUUAAUUAGUGAUGUCACGGUUAAUUUGGAGCAUUGUCAUUCAUAAUUCAAUGAAGUAGUAACUGGAAAUCGAGUUAUUUGCAUACAUGUCAUGUGUAGAAAAAAAGCCUCUAUCUAUCUCAUCCAUCAUCUUAUUUCUCAAAUUUGUUUUACAAUCUGUCUAGUUUUUCAUAAUUGUUUGUUUGUUUCAACUUCGUCCAAAACUCAAUCCCCAUUUACUUUAGUGUGUCUAAUUAGUUGUAAUAUGUUUUAAUUUGUGUUUUUAAAUGUUUUGAUUCAAGUAAAAGUCAAUUUUCGUCCAAAGUCAUUUCUAGUGUCUAGUUUAAGUUUAUUUAGUUGUUUUAAGUUGUUUUGAGUAUUUUAAGUUUGCUUUGAGUCUUGUGAGUCUUGUUAAGUAUUUUUAAGUUUAGUUUUAUGUUUUUGAGUCAGUUUAGAGGUUAUUAGCAAGCCCUCCUAAUAUCCGGUCCAGAACGAUCCAUACUUAUACUUGUACUACAAUUGUCAAAAGAGGGUUAAAUUUGUGUGUUAAGAUAAUUUUCGCAUCAAGCAGCUCAAGACCUUUGCUGUUGACAAAAUGAUAGACUUGCCGUUGAGAUAAGAUCCCUCUUUUCUUUAUUAUCAAAAGAGGGUUAAAUUUGUGUGUUAAGAUAAUUUUCGCAUCAAGCAGCUCAAGACCUUUGCUGUUGACAAAAUGAUGGACUUGCCGUUGAGAUAAGAUCCCUCUUUUCUUUAUUAUUUUACUUUAUCAUCAUUACUUCCCUAGCCACCAGAAAAUGAUGGAACUUUCAUGAUACAAACCCAUACUCAAAGAAAUCAGAGGCACAAUGGAAAGAUACCAAGAAAAGCAGUGGGAACAGAAAAGCAAAAAAAAAAAAAAAAAAUAAAAAAAAAGAAAAGAGGAGUGAUGGGCACGACCAGGCUGUCCAAGAAAGCAAGUGGGUGGUAUCAAGGCUGUCAUGUUACGUUUUACAGAAGAACAUGCAGGAAACGGAAAAGAGGAAACAAAACAAAAGCAAAGCAGAAAGCAAAAACAAAGAAUGAUGUGAUUUGCUUUUAUUGUUUUUAUGAUGUAAUUUAUUUUUAUCUUUCGGAGAUAUGCUCAAAAGAGCCAUACCCUUUAUUAUCACCAACCAGGUGACCAAAAGUACGCCCAGUACUCCACAAUUAUUCGGCAACCUACCGCUAUUACCACCGACCAGGUGAUGAGAUGUACAACCCGUACUCUAAUUUGGCAACUAGCCAUUCAUGCCACCAACCAGGUGAUCAAAAGUACGCCCAGUACUUCAUAUUAUACAUGAGCAUUACUCAUAUCAAUCAUACAUAAACAUUCAUGAGCAUCACUCAUGUCAACAUUCAUGAGCAUCACUCAUGUUAACAUCCAUAAGCAUCACUCAUGUUAAUCAAACAUUCAUGAGCAUCACUCAUGUCAAUCAAACGUUCAUGAGCAUCACUCGUGUCAAUCAGUUUCAAAAGCUUCAUUUACAAAAUCACUAGCUUCAAAAGCUUUUUUUUACAGAGCUACAACUUCAAAAGCUUCAUUUACAACUUCAAAGCUUCACUUACAAAGCUUCAGUGCAGGGUAUACAAAUACCGCCUCCAAACAACCGUCACUUCGGCCCGUACAUGGAUUCAAUUUGAAGUCUCCAGCCAACAGACUCUAUUAACCGAAGACUUGAAGGACUACAUUAUGUACCAUAUAUUGGGCCUCAACUGGGCCUCAUGAAAAAUACUUGGGGGACUUAGCCCAUUACUUAUGUAUUGAAGAGCGAGCCCUUAUUCUAUAAAAGGGACUCUCUCACUUUCAUUAGAGAGCACCUAUUAUUCAUGUACUAAGGAGCGAGCUCUUAUUUUAUAAAAGGGACUCCCUCACCAUCAUUAGAAAGCAACGCCGCCAGCUGAGCAACCGUCUCGCUGCGAGCAUUACUCCUAACCCAUCACUUAUGUAUUUAAGAGCGAGCCCUUAUUCUAUAAAAUGGUGAGGGAGUCCCUCACCACCAUUAGAGAGGAUCGCCGCCUACUAAGCAACCGCCUCGCCGCGAGUAUCAACUCUAGCACAUCAUUUAUGUAUUGAGGAACGAGCCCUUAAUAUAUAAAAGGGACUCCCUCACCAUCAUUAGAGAGCAUCAACUCUAGCCCAUCAUUCAUGUAUUGAGGAGCAAGCCCUUAUUCUAUAAAAUGGACUCCCUCACCUUCAAACGCCGUAAGCCGAGCCAACCAAGGAAACAUAAGCCACAAGCCGAGCAGCCUCGCAGCGUGUGCUACUUCUAGUUGAGCGUCAUUUUAGAUUGAGCACUGCCUCAUAUUGAGCAUCAGUUUAAGACAUCAUCUAGUUACUUCGGCCCACACAUGGACUGAAUUUUAAGUCUCCAGCCAAAAGACUCUCUUAACUGAAGACUUGGGGGACUACUGUUUAUACCAUAUUUAGGGCAUCGUAUUUAGACCUCGUAUAAAUACUCGAGGGACUUAAAUGUAAUUAUGUAAUAAAGGAAUGGGCAAAUAUGUAAUUAGGGAAGGAGCCCUUAUUCUACAAAAGGGCCUCCUCACCCUCACAAACCCUAAGCCUCUCCUAUCUAGAGCAAAGCUCUCACACUCUCUCCCUCGCAAAUACUCUCAGAGAAAUACAAUCAGUGUGGACGUAGCCUAAACCUUGGGGUGAACCACGAUACAUCUUGUGUUAUUUACAUUUCAUGCAGAUUCACGGUCGGAUUUACGUUGUUCCAAGACCUCCGGUUUUAUGCAUCAACAAAAGUAGAUUUUGGAAUUACAAUCAUGCCAUGCCUUUCUUUCUUACACAUAAAUGCGUGCUAUGGGUUAGGAACACUGCCAGAUUUCCUAUGCGAAAUACCACUGCAGAAUCUUACCAUUUUGGGGUGUUCUAAACUUGCCCAACAUUGCGUAAAAGGUAGCAGAAAAGAGUGGCUCAAGAUUUCUCACAUCUCAAACAUCGAGAUUUAGAACAUAUAUGGUGAGUUGCACUGCUUUGAUUUUUUACUUCAUUUGGAUAUAUAUAUAUAUAUAUAUAUGUAUAUGUAUAUGUAUAUGUAUAUAUAUAUACAAAUGCAAUUUAACUAUUUGCUUUCCAAAUUGCAGUACCUUUUUCAAACAUCAAACCUUCAACAGAUAUGGUGCACUGGGGCAAAAAAGUUUCCAGCUUAUCUGAUGACUGAUAUAAAGAGAAUUUAUCAAGUGAUGUCGAUGUAACUUGUCGAGAUAUGCCUAUUAGGCACCACAUCAAACAUUUGACAAGCACAAAAAGGACAAACACCAAACAUUCAGAUGUUCCUCGUAAAACCUUUGCAUGUAUAUUUUUAAGACUCCGGGUGGCCUAAAUAUACAUCUGCACUGGCAUAUAUCGUUGAACGAUGCUCGUUUGCCAUCUCCGCCAUCACUCCCAGCCCAAGCUGGCCGUCCGAUAAGGUCAAGGGCGAGGAAGCUGCGUGGGAAUUUGCCAAGGAGAAGGGCUGGAUGUCGUGUGGUGAAUCCAGGCACAGUGAUAGGCGCUGUUAUGUCGCGGAGUCUCAAUGCUAGCAUGUUGAUGCUCGUUCGCCUUCUUGAGGGUACUUUUCUCUGCAAAUUAGCGAAUUGAAAUCUGAUUUUUCCUAUAAUAGAAUUUUCAUGCGGGUAUAGAUUUGCAUACAUCAUCUUCCCUUGGUCUGCUUAGAAUCACUUCCAAAUGUCGAUUUCCAGGUUUAUCAACCUUUUGGUGCAUUCUCGCUUGCCUUCCGAAUUUUACAAAUUUUUUAGGUGACAUUGUUUCUUGUUUAUAAAAAAAAUAAGAAAUUGUUAUUGACAUUCAAAAUUUUCUAUAAUUAGUAAGAAAAUUAUAUUGUGAGAAAUGUAGAGUAAAUUUUUUGAAGUAUUAAUAAUAGUUUCCUAAAAAUAGACGAUAUUACUAAUUUGCAUACAUCAUCUUCCUUUGGUCUGCUUAGAAUCACUUCCAAAUGUCGAUUUCCAGGUUUAUCAACCUUUGGUGCAUUCUUGCUUGCGGAAUUUUACAAAUAUUUUAGGUGACCGUGACAUUGUUUCUUGUUUAUAAUAAAAAUAAGGAAUUGUUAUUGGCACUUCAAAAAUCGCAUUUUGCAUUUUAAACUGUUUAUAAUUAGUAAGAAAAUUACACUGUGAGAAAUGUAAAACAAAAUUUUUAAAUUGUUAAUAACAAUUUCCUAAAAAUAAACGAUAUUACUAAUUUGGGAUACAUAGAGAAAGCAAUCGUUUUAACUCAAGAUACAGUGUGUAGUGUGUGUUUUAUUUAUAUACUCAAUUUCGAUCUCUAUAUCUUUUUAUUUGAAAAUUCCAAUUAGAUUUUGGGCCUGCCUAAACGAAAAUUAUCCAGCUGGCCCAAUCCAACUUGAUCACCAUCAACAAUCAGCUAAAGUAAAUGAGGGACACACGACAGCCGAAAGCUAAGGGCCACAGGAGGGAGGAUGUCGAAGCAGGGUGAGGUCGUAUGCGUUACCGGUGGAAGCGGCGGCAUCGGAUCCUGGCUCGUCCGUCUCCUCCUCCACGGUGAUUACACCGUCCACGCCACCGUCAAGGAUCUCAGUAACUUCACCCUUGCUUUUCCCCUUAUCUACACAACUGCCACAGUUCCAUUCAUUCCAUUCGCGUUCAAUCCAAAAUUAAUAACGCCGUUGUUUUGUUUGUUGCAGAGGACGAUGGCGAGACGAAGCAUCUAGAAGCGUUAGUAGAGGGGGCAGAGUCGCGCCUCCGUCUCUUCCAGAUCGACCUCCUCGACUACAACUCCAUACUCGCCGCCGUCAAUGGUUGCUCCGGCGUCUUCCACCUCGCCUCUCCCUGCAUCGUCGACCAAGUCCA
Molecule: long non-coding RNA, 33971 nt
Filed under: Malus domestica (apple)
Lineage: Eukaryota; Viridiplantae; Streptophyta; Magnoliopsida; Rosales; Rosaceae
Description: long non-coding RNA (MDOM_LNC009981)
Source: RNAcentral